GCCUCUGUAGCUCAGUCGGUAGAGCAGAGGACUGAAAAUCCUCGUGUCGUUGGUUCGAUUCCGACCGGAGGCACCA
RNAcentral lists this transfer RNA (76 nucleotides) under Ruminococcus flavefaciens. Its description in RNAcentral is "tRNA-Phe". It matches the Rfam family "tRNA". Rfam says of the family: Transfer RNA (tRNA) molecules are approximately 80 nucleotides in length. Their secondary structure includes four short double-helical elements and three loops (D, anti-codon, and T loops). Lineage: Bacteria; Bacillati; Bacillota; Clostridia; Eubacteriales; Oscillospiraceae. The record is from RNAcentral. RNAcentral also lists the same sequence under 23 other names.